RNAcentral lists this ribosomal RNA (496 nucleotides) under uncultured soil bacterium. Its description in RNAcentral is "bacterial SSU rRNA". It matches the Rfam family "Bacterial small subunit ribosomal RNA", at positions 31 to 573 of the family's 1533-position model. The record is from RNAcentral.
GAACGCUGGCGGCAUGCCUAACACAUGCAAGUCGAACGAAGGCUUCGGCCUUAGUGGCGCACGGGUGCGUAACGCGUGGGAAUCUGCCCUCUGGUACGGAAUAACUCAGGGAAACUUGAGCUAAUACCGUAUAAUGACUUCGGUCCAAAGAUUUAUCGCCUGAGGAUGAGCCCGCGUCGGAUUAGCUAGUUGGUGAGGUAAAGGCUCACCAAGGCGACGAUCCGUAGCUGGUCUGAGAGGAUGAUCAGCCACACUGGGACUGAGACACGGCCCAGACUCCUACGGGAGGCAGCAGUGGGGAAUAUUGGACAAUGGGCGCAAGCCUGAUCCAGCAAUGCCGCGUGAGUGAUGAAGGCCUUAGGGUUGUAAAGCUCUUUUACCCGGGAUGAUAAUGACAGUACCGGGAGAAUAAGCCCCGGCUAACUCCGUGCCAGCAGCCGCGGUAAUACGGAGGGGGCUAGCGUUGUUCGGAAUUACUGGGCGUAAAGCGCACGUA